AUUGGGUCAUGCCUGCCUCCUGCAUUCCCAGUUUUCCAGUCAAAUCUUACAGGCCUCUUUCAAGCCUAGCUUCCACAG
Molecule: long non-coding RNA, 78 nt
Organism: Phyllostomus discolor (pale spear-nosed bat)
Lineage: Eukaryota; Metazoa; Chordata; Mammalia; Chiroptera; Phyllostomidae
Exons: 3
Source: RefSeq, a predicted model, not a curated record